Molecule: long non-coding RNA, 310 nt
Filed under: Homo sapiens (human)
Lineage: Eukaryota; Metazoa; Chordata; Mammalia; Primates; Hominidae
Description: HSALNT0187827
Source: RNAcentral
UUGAAACCAUUUCUCCAAUAGCAUGAGCUCACUUCAGGCAAAAGAGUCAACAGAAAAAUGGGCAAAAUAAUGGGCAGGCAUUUCAAAGAAGAGAAGAGGAGACAGGCAUAUGGGAGCAGUUCUAUUUGACAGAGAGACUACCAGCAAAAGAUGGAGCUCAGCAGUCCUCACCAUGCUGGAAAAGCAUGAAGAGUUGGAAGGAUGGAGACAUCGAAUUUGGGCAACAAUCCGAAGAUGGUAGAGCUGUGAAGAAGGUUGGGAUUUUUUUUCACAAUGAGUCAGAGAACUCAGAGAAAGAUAACUGUGAAGA